This 849-nucleotide ribosomal RNA is filed under the name Bacillus subtilis. Its description in RNAcentral is "bacterial SSU rRNA". It matches the Rfam family "Bacterial small subunit ribosomal RNA", at positions 40 to 871 of the family's 1533-position model. The record is from RNAcentral. Lineage: Bacteria; Bacillati; Bacillota; Bacilli; Caryophanales; Bacillaceae.
CGGCGUGCCUAAUACAUGCAAGUCGAGCGGACAGAUGGGAGCUUGCUCCCUGAUGUUAGCGGCGGACGGGUGAGUAACACGUGGGUAACCUGCCUGUAAGACUGGGAUAACUCCGGGAAACCGGGGCUAAUACCGGAUGGUUGUUUGAACCGCAUGGUUCAAACAUAAAAGGUGGCUUCGGCUACCACUUACAGAUGGACCCGCGGCGCAUUAGCUAGUUGGUGAGGUAACGGCUCACCAAGGCAACGAUGCGUAGCCGACCUGAGAGGGUGAUCGGCCACACUGGGACUGAGACACGGCCCAGACUCCUACGGGAGGCAGCAGUAGGGAAUCUUCCGCAAUGGACGAAAGUCUGACGGAGCAACGCCGCGUGAGUGAUGAAGGUUUUCGGAUCGUAAAGCUCUGUUGUUAGGGAAGAACAAGUACCGUUCGAAUAGGGCGGUACCUUGACGGUACCUAACCAGAAAGCCACGGCUAACUACGUGCCAGCAGCCGCGGUAAUACGUAGGUGGCAAGCGUUGUCCGGAAUUAUUGGGCGUAAAGGGCUCGCAGGCGGUUUCUUAAGUCUGAUGUGAAAGCCCCCGGCUCAACCGGGGAGGGUCAUUGGAAACUGGGGAACUUGAGUGCAGAAGAGGAGAGUGGAAUUCCACGUGUAGCGGUGAAAUGCGUAGAGAUGUGGAGGAACACCAGUGGCGAAGGCGACUCUCUGGUCUGUAACUGACGCUGAGGAGCGAAAGCGUGGGGAGCGAACAGGAUUAGAUACCCUGGUAGUCCACGCCGUAAACGAUGAGUGCUAAGUGUUAGGGGGUUUCCGCCCCUUAGUGCUGCAGCUAACGCAUUAAGCAUCCG